Molecule: ribosomal RNA, 352 nt
Filed under: Dendrobates leucomelas (yellow-headed poison frog)
Lineage: Eukaryota; Metazoa; Chordata; Amphibia; Anura; Dendrobatidae
Description: partial 12S ribosomal RNA
Rfam family: Bacterial small subunit ribosomal RNA
Source: RNAcentral
UCGUAAACUUUAAAACCUUUUUGCCCGGGAAUACGAGAUAUGCUUAAAACCCAAAGGACUUGACGGUACCCCACAUCCCCCUAGAGGAGCCUGUCCUAUAAUCGAUACCCCCCGCUUAACCUCACCAUUUCUAGUACAUCAGCCUGUAUACCUCCGUCGUCAGCUUACCACGUGAGCGUCAGUGAGCUCAAUGUUCAUUCAACUACACGUCAGGUCAAGGUGCAACAUAUGAAAUGGGAAGAGAUGGGCUACACUCCCUAACUUAGAGAACACGAAAAACUACUUAUGAAACCUAGUCAGAAGGCGGAUUUAGAAGUAAAAUGGAACUAGAGAGUCCUUUUUAACCUGGCAC